CAUUCUGCCAGUGGGUCUCCUCCUACCUUAUUCUCAGUCCUUUAGGUUAGGGUAUGGAAACACUCCUGUCCUUUAGGAAACACUCCUAACCUAGUCCUUUAGGUCAGGGUAUGGAAACACUCCUGUCCUUUAGGAAACACUCCUAACCUAGUCCUUUAGGUUAGGGUAUGGAAACACUCCUGUCCUUUAGGAAACACUCCUAACCUAGUCCUUUAGGUUAGGGUAUGGAAACACUCCUGUCCUUUAGGAAACACUCCUGUCCUUCAGGAAACACUCCUAACCUAGUCCUUUAGGUUAGGGUAUGGAAACACUCCUGUCCUUCAGGAAACACUCCUAACCUAGUCCUUUAGGUUAGGGUAUGGAAACACUCCUGUCCUUCAGGAAACACUCCUAACCUAGUCCUUUAGGUUUCUCUAACCACCUACCACCAGGUGCCAUUCAUUCCAGAUGAAGAAACUUUAACAAGAAAACAGCUGGCAGGCUCUCUCAGCACCACAACCAUCUUCAGUCCUGUUUGGUUGUG
Molecule: long non-coding RNA, 523 nt
Organism: Oncorhynchus keta (chum salmon)
Lineage: Eukaryota; Metazoa; Chordata; Actinopteri; Salmoniformes; Salmonidae
Exons: 4
Source: RefSeq, a predicted model, not a curated record